UACGUAGAGACCAAGCGUUGUUCGGAUUUACUGGGCGUAAAGGGCGCGUAGGCGGCGUGGUAAGUCACUUGUGAAAUCUCUGAGCUUAACUCAGAACGGCCAAGUGAUACUGUCGUGCUAGAGUGCGGAAGGGGCUACUGGAAUUCUCGGUGUAGCGGUGAAAUGCGUAGAUAUCGAGAGGAACACCUGCGGCGAAGGCGGGUAGCUGGGCCGACACUGACGCUGAGGCGCGAAAGCCAGGGGAGCGAACGGG
RNAcentral lists this ribosomal RNA (253 nucleotides) under uncultured bacterium. RNAcentral's name for it is "partial 16S ribosomal RNA". It matches the Rfam family "Bacterial small subunit ribosomal RNA", at positions 524 to 776 of the family's 1533-position model. The record is from RNAcentral.